RNAcentral lists this long non-coding RNA (678 nucleotides) under Olea europaea (common olive). RNAcentral's name for it is "long non-coding RNA (OEUR_LNC013652)". Lineage: Eukaryota; Viridiplantae; Streptophyta; Magnoliopsida; Lamiales; Oleaceae. The record is from RNAcentral.
ACUUUUGUUGUCCUCGAAAACAUUCGUGGAAGAAGGUUACAGGUUGAAAUUCAAUGUGGGGAAAAGCAAGAGUCACAAAUGGAAGACCAUAAGUUCACAGGUCAAGAAGCAGACCCAUAAAACUUUUUUUCAACAUCUUUCUUCUCGUGUAAGCUAAAAUUUUACUGUUCAGCUUUGAUCUUGUAGUUAUUGUGAAGUGAGAGAUCAAAUGUUCACAUUGUCGACGAUCAUCUUUUCCUUUCGAGUGUGCUUUAUACGGAAGAUUCUUUUUUGAUAUUCUUUUACUUCAUUACAAAGAAACCCCAUAAAUCUGCGUUUAUAUACUCUGUAUUACUGCACAAUGCAAGGAAGUUUCAUGCUUGCAAUAGUUUUUCACUUAGAGGUUUUUUGUAAUUUCCAGUGUUGAUAGCUAAAAUACGCAAAAGAGAGUGAAAGUGACAAUGGAAGAGCGUUCUUCAAGCACGAAAAGAGCUCGGCCUACGGAUGAGUUUAUUCAAUUGGUGUUUUCGUGGUCUCUUGAAGACAUUUUUAAUGAGGAUCUGUACAGAAACCAGGUUCGUUCUUUGUUACUCUUUUGGAUUCUGGUGGUAAGUUUUCGGCAGAGUAUUUAACAUUUUUUGCAGGUCUUAGUUUGAUCAUUGAUGAAUAACUGUAGCUUAAUAUUUCAGCAGAGUAUUU